GCCGGGCACGGUGGCUCAUGCCUGUAAUCCCAGCACUUUGGGAGGCUGAGGUGGGUGGAUCAUUGGAGGUCAGGGGUUCAAGGCUAGCCUGGCCAACACAGUGAAACCCCAUCUCUA
Unclassified non-coding RNA from Pongo abelii (Sumatran orangutan), 117 nucleotides. It matches the Rfam family "Metazoan signal recognition particle RNA". Rfam says of the family: The signal recognition particle (SRP) is a universally conserved ribonucleoprotein. It is involved in the co-translational targeting of proteins to membranes. The eukaryotic SRP consists of a 300-nucleotide 7S RNA and six proteins: SRPs 72, 68, 54, 19, 14, and 9. NCBI's taxonomy places the organism in Eukaryota, Metazoa, Chordata, Mammalia, Primates, Hominidae. The record is from Ensembl.